This is a long non-coding RNA of Nothobranchius furzeri (turquoise killifish), 5208 nucleotides long. NCBI's taxonomy places the organism in Eukaryota, Metazoa, Chordata, Actinopteri, Cyprinodontiformes, Nothobranchiidae. The record is from Ensembl.
AUGCCCAGCAAGAGGAAGAAGAACAAGCGUCGCAUGAGGAGGGUGCAAGCCCAGAGGAGAGCACUCGAAGAGCAACAUGCAGCCAAUCCACCAAUCAAAGCCAGCCCAGGGACCGCAGUCAGUGCACCCCCGACAACUACUCCCACAAAAGUGCCUGAACCUGCGUCUCCCCCUUCAGAAAACAAACCACGGGUCAUUCCCAUCACUGUUCCUGUUGUGCAGACUCCCAAAGUGGAACCACAGCCGGCGGUGAAAGAACCUGUUGCCGAGCCAGUCCAGGCCGAGGUGACGACGAAAGAGCCGGAUGUUGAGUUGUUACUGCAGGUUCCUGCAGAAGUGGAAGUUGAGAUCCACCCGGAGGUUGAGGCUGAAGCUCACAUCACUGAAGCACCACUAGUUGGAUGGACGCCACCAGUUGAGUCUGUUACAGAUGAAGCAGGCGUAGGACAGGAGGCUGAACUUGAUGUUCCUGAACCAGAACCGGUAAAUGAGAUCAGACUUCCAGAUGAGGCUCCAGUGGGGGCUCCUGCAGCGACUGAAACAGUGGACGUCGUAUCAAUACCAGAGACUGAACAGACGCAUGACGUCCGUGCACCAGAGGCUGAGAUCCUCUCAGAGGAAGUCACCGAGGAUAAAGUGGAACUGGAGGUGGCCGUCACAGAAGAUGUCUCAGUACCAGAACAUGUGAGGGAACCCAGUGAAGAUCCAGCAGUUGAAGAUCUUAGCAAUCACGUUUCAGCCGAAGCAGAAGCUGCUGCAGAUGUGGCUGAUGGAUCGAUGGUGGCGGCUGUAGCAGAGAGACCUGAACUUGAACAGGAGUCACCGAGCCCUGCAGCUUCGAUUCAGGAGGAGGUGUUGGAAGACGCAGCUGCAGAGGAGGCUCCUGUCCUGUCUGCAGGAAUCCCAGAGCAGGUGAAGGAAGCUGAAGUUAGUGAAACCAAAGAGGUCGGAGCCGGAGUUUGUCUUCAUGACUAUGAGGUUGAUGAUGUCACAGCACGUGCUUGGCCUGCAGAGGGCGCUCUAACAGCAUCAGCUGUCAUCCAGCAGGAGUUUAUCAUCGCUGGAACAGAGUCCAGAGACGUGAGUCCUGCUGCUGCUGCACCUCCAGAGGACGAGGUCUCUAGUAAUUCUGCUGAGCAGACGAGUCUGAGCGCCUCAUCAGAGGAACCAAAGACAGAAGCCUGUGAUGCAACGUGUCUCAUUCAGCUCCCGGUGAAGUCUGUGCAGCUCGGUUCAGUGGAAAUUUCAGUGGAAACAGCUCUGAAUGGACACAUUGUUCCAGAAGUUUCAAUUGAAGGCUAGAGACAAACCACAAAUCUCAGGAGACCUUCGUUUUCUGUGCCCUGUUCUAUUUAGUUAUUUCGGAGGACUCAAAACUUCCCGGGGCGUCAACCAGACCUGUUUCAUUUUUUAAGGCAUCGGACAAAAACGGCCAGGAAAUCGAAGGGAUAUCCAUACUUUGACGUGCCUUUCCUGCCCCGGGUUCCGUUGAAACAUUCAAUCCAGAUGUCACCGUGCAGAGGCGGAGGCUCUCAAGGCAGCAGCGGAGAUGCAUGGAUAGAAACCAGCCGUGGCUCAUUUUAACCACACAGAAAAGCCACACGGGGAAUUUGGGUGUGCUGUGACGCGAAGAUGUUUAAGAGGUCAAACGCUCUUAAGAAAAAGAAAAAGGUGACAUUUUUUUAUCAUGUUUCUAUUUCUGCCUCCAAAUGGCAAACACAGGUUGCAUUUUCUAGGCGCUGCAACAUUUCCGAUCAGUUCUGAUGUUUUAAUGCUUAUUAGAAAAGGAAAUGUCUUCCUCGUUCACUUUUUUCCCUCACUUGGUCUUUUAUAAACCUCCAAACAAGCUCAACCACCUUCCCUUUGUCCCUCACCCUCUCCCUCCUAAGUGCCAACGCUAACACGGGUGUGAGGAUAACAAUCAAAUCAUAAAGUUUCUUCUUUUUAAGUGUUUUUGUAAAGUCGGAGUGAAGCAGAAGCGUUUUGAUGUUAAAGCCGACGAUGCUGAGGGGAGAUGAGCUGACAGGAGGGUGACUGUCGAGCUGUAGGCCGUCUCUGUCUUUGAAAUAAAUCUGUAACUCACCGUGACCGAGGAGUGGGCUCUUCUUUUAUUUUAGUUUGUCUGUUUCAUAAAACUGGUGAAUGAUUAAAAAUGUAUUCCUGUUGAAGAAGUUUUAUAUAAAGAAAAAAAACACACAAAAUAUCGUGUUUUGGGGUAAAAUACAGAUGAAAGUACAGAGACGAUCAUUUAUAAAAUUAUGGAAUGAUCUUCCAUAAUCUGUGCGACUCUCCAGGUCAGUAGAGCUUUUUAAGGCGGCGCUGAAGACCCGUUAUUAUAAUCUGCCUUUUAAAUCUGUGUUAGCAGAUGUUUUGUAUUUUGCUGUUUUAAAUUUUUUUAUUGGGUUCCUAUAUAUUGUUUGUUUUUAUCUUUUUAGCUUAGUCUUGUGCAGCACCUUGGUGACAUGAUAUAUGUCUGUAAGGUGCUUUUAUAAAUAAAGGUGAUGAUGAUGAUGAUAUCAAGUCCUGCAUCGUUUUUCUCAGGAUUACGCGUCGUGAGCGCUCAGACCCAUCAUGCAGGCUCAUUAGUUUUAAAAUCAUGAACAAAAUCAAUCAGGUUGUGUUUGUUUUGCACGCACACACACACACACACACACACACACACACACACACACACACACACACACACACACACACACACACACACAUAUACACGCACGCAGCCCGGCCACAAACAUGUUGCCUUUAGCUUUGAUUACGACACACUGUUACGGCUGGAGCCUUUUUGUGUUGUGAUUUCAUUUUUCUGUGCAUUUUUAUGUUGCAUCUGAGGAGCCUGCCUGCAGACUAUGGCCUGUUGGCUCACCCUUGCUCCUCCCUGCACCAGCUGAGCUGGGUUUUCAUCAGCCGCAAAUUGUUUAAAGGACCAGCUGGAGCUCCUCACCAAGGGGGACAAUAGUGCAGAGCUGCCUUUCCUCUGGUCUGUUGUCUCCCACUUAGAACUUUGAUAUUGUGCUCUUUAGAGUUAUGUUACUGUUUGAACCUGUUUUGAUAAAAGGGGAUUUAGAUCCAUGGUGGUUAGCAAUAAUAAUAGACAUCUUUUCUGAAUUAAGAGAAAAGUAAAUAAAACUUUUGUUAAUUUUCUUUUGUGUCACGCGUUCUCCAUGUUACCCCAGGCCCCCUAGACACCUGGUUGGUGACCUUUGCUUUGGAUGGGUUAUGUAUUUAAUCAUUAAUAUGGAGGACUCCUUCCAAAAUAGACAAAUAAAAAAUGUAAAUAAAGUAAUGCUGCAAAUGGAAAUAAAACAAACAGUUAAUUAAACAAAUCUAAUUAUUUUCAACAUUUCUUUACAUAUUUAUUGAUGAAGAGUUCUUCAUACAUCAACAUUAAAACGGGUUUUGGUGUUAAAAGAAACCCAGAAAGAUUAUUGUCAUAUCUAUACAAACAUUAACUUUCCUUCAUUUUGAAAUCUGAAAGAAAACAAAAUCUAAUUUUCUAAGAUUAAAGGCAAAAAAACAAAAAGAAAGUUAUCAGAACUUUUUUAUUUAUAUAAAAAAGAUUAUACUAUCUGAGAAUAAAGUCCUAAAGUAGUUUGAUGUUUUUUGAGAUUUUAAGAUCUUAAAUCAGCAAGUAACAAAAAACGAAUAAAAAUUAUAUCAGAUUAAAUUUAAAUGACGUUUUCCAGCUGGAGGCUCUGAAAGAUGCUAAUGACUAAAAAACUAAAACCAGCUUUUAUGGCAGCGGCGCUUUGAUGUUAAAAACAGACGAGACAAGAAAUUAGUCUCAGAUCAAAAGAUGUUCUUUAUUUCUUUUUACAUUUAAAUUUACAUUCAUAUUAGUAUGAUGUCAUUUGGUACAGUAAACACUGCUGAUGAGUGGUGUUCACCACCACGACCCACGUCUCAAGCAUCAGUAAUUCACCUCUGACCUCUGACCCCCCACCCCCCCCCCCCCCCGACACACAGCACAAGAAACUUCACUUCCACCUUAAACAGGGGAAAAGUGAAGACGUUAGAGGACUAAACCACAGACAGACUGCAAAAGCACAUUCUAUUCACAUCUGAUGCUUUGGAAUGAAAACAGCAACAAAGGCUCACGGUGACCCACACGUUCCACUUAUAUACAUAUAUUAAAUGAAUUUUCAACUUGUGCCGUUCAUUUUGAUGAAUAUAACCUCAGAUCUUCAACGAAACUUAAGAAUAAAUAAGAAACUAAGUGAUUUGAUUGGUCCGUGAGGAAAAGUCAGGAAAGAGCAAGAAGAAAAUCAGAUGAUGAACAAGCUGGAGAGCAUGAAGCUCACCUACUUCUACACUUCCAUACACACACUCACACAAUCCAGCCUGCAGACUGGAUUCUUCACAAAGCCACCUGAUGGACGAUCAUAUAAUUUACACUGAAGUGAUAUUUUAGGUCAAUAGUGAGAAAACCAGACACUUCUGUAUCCUUUGUGAUGUGAACUGGAAGUGGGCGGAGCUUAAAGGCAGAACAGAACUCUUAACGAUGAUGGAGAUGCUUGGGGAAAAGAAAAGAGCAGUGAUCACUGGGCAGGUGGGUGGCUGUUCCUGCAGACGUCCUGCUACAGCGCCACUGAAACCUGGAUGCUCCUGGUCAGGAACGCCGACCUGCUGCGGUUGAGAGGUUUGGUGUAGAAGAGCGUGCACAGUGUGGAACGAAGAGCACUUCAAUAACAGACCGCCUGACUGGAUUCCUACGGGACUCCCAAAAGGACAUUUCAGGAUGGAGCAGUAAAAGCAGCAGCUCUGGUGGUGCUCAGUAGUGAAACGGCUCAGGAAGGUAGAGGUGGUCCGAGCGCGUGCAGCAGCAGCACUUAGAAGGUGUUUCUUCUUCUGUUGUCCAUCAUCUGGGCGAGCUUUCAUGUUUCCACGCUGAGCGGUUUACACCGCCGAGCCGGUAGACAGCACUAUCUCACCACCAACAUGGAAGAUUCUGUUUUAGUCAUCACCUCGAUCGCCCGUCCUCCUCCCGAUUUAUGCAGCACCACUCAGGCAGUCGCACAGGUAGGCGGUGAGUUCGAGAACAAUCACGAUGUUAGCUUAGAGCCGGUGGGAAUGUUUCAUCACCGCCAGGCAUGGAUGGGGCGGGGGGGAGGUAAAGGAGGAAGAAGGGAGCGGUGGAGAGGACACCUCUCAGAGGCUUAAUGACCCAAUGUGGGCCCAGUCCUGUCCCAUCUAGACCAGUUUAAUCCUCAU